This 1089-nucleotide long non-coding RNA is filed under the name Fukomys damarensis (Damara mole-rat). RNAcentral describes it as "lncRNA (ENSFDAG00000027856.1)". Lineage: Eukaryota; Metazoa; Chordata; Mammalia; Rodentia; Bathyergidae. The record is from RNAcentral.
CAGGAGUCUGGAGAUGAACAUUGAGUUUUUGUGCCCAGUUCUGUGGACUCCAGGCUAGACUUGAGCUCGGCCUGAGGCUGCUCCGCAAGUCGCAGGGAUCCUGGCUGUCCCUCAGGUAACGCCCGCUGCUGGAGGCGGGUCCUGGGCCACGGGCUGGCUGACUUUGGAGCUGCUCUCCAGAGGUCAGGAUGCCAUUUUGGUGCAUGCUUGCUUCCCUGCGCCUUCCUCACCCGCUUCCGUGCCUGCAGUGCAGUCCCCCCGUCUCACAGAUUUCCUGAACUGCGGCCCCUCCCCUCCCCAGUGUGUGUCCACAUGAGCUACACCCACGGCACUGUGCCUGCGAUGUGCUCCGCCCUUCCGCGGCCACUGUCCCUCACUCUCCACACCGCAGGACACUGGGCAAUGACAGGCAAUGAGCAUUUUCCAGCUCCCAUGCGUGUGUGCCUCCCCUCUGCAGGGGCUGGGUCAGGCGGGGCUGGCCUUCUGAACUGUCAGGAGUCUGAUGACGUGUUUGAAAAGAAAACUUUUUAAAAAGAGAAAGGGGGUGAGAAAGACAUGAUUUGGAAACUAUUUCCAGGACUUGAAAACAAGUGUAUGAUAUUCGAUCUGCUCCUGACCUGUGUGCUGAGCUCAUGUUGCUAAAUAGCACUUGCUUGAUGGAGAAAAUAUUUGGCAAGAACUACAAGCUUCAUUCAGAGGGGAGUCCAGACGCCAGAUAUGGAACGCGGCCCCACACUGCGAGCUGUCGGAAACCCUGUGCAAUUUAUCAUCCCAUCCCCAGCACCUACAAAAGCACACUUCAUGGACUAGAAGCAGGGCGUUUGUGUGGAAUGAAGGAAUGGUGGCUCCAGGGUUGCCUGCAGACACUGAAGUUUGAGGAUUCUAACACCGGGACAUGAGAGAGAAUGUGGGAAAUGACGCUGAGAAAACCCUGGAAGGCAUUAGAGGUCUUAGAAACUGCGUCCCAGGAAAAGCGGGAAGCCGAGGCAGCGCGAAGAGCCCUGCCUGGUGCAGGCAGGAGUGAGGCCUCAGUGGGCUGCCUAGGGGAUGCAUUGUGAAACCUGCUCUAGAAACAAUCAGAGACGGGGA